AUUUAAGUUUGAUUGCAUUACUAAAAAAUAUUAAGUAUAUUCUACUAAUUUGUACACAUAGUCAAAAGUGUUAAUAAGUUUAAGUUGAAUGGCCUUAAAAUUCUAAGUUUUAGUCAUGACCACACCUCUUUUUUAAUCUGCGCAGAGUUGUGAAGCCGCCAUUUUAACUUUCACAGAUCAGCAGCAGUUACGUGAGGUUUGGUAAAAUUCAGAGUGAGCUUCAGCCAACGUUUGUUCUCUGAACUUAGUAUUUUGGAUCCUGACUGUCGGUGGGAAUGUUUGUUUUAACUUUAAGAGCAGUGGAAAUCGCGUGUUUUACAGUUUGAUAGUUACAGGUGGUAUUUUACCAAUUUCACGUCAUUUUCAUCUGUUGGAUAAGUUGCUUUUGUCACUGUGGAGAGCUCUCUGGAUUUGGAAUGGGACACUUUUUUUUGAAAACUUUUCGGAUAAUCUAAGUGCUCACUAGCUGUUAGCUGCAUUGAACACCCGACCGACAGCACAGAAAACGUGGUCUUCCACGUUGCGCAGCACAAGGGAGAAGGAGAGAGAAAGGAAGGCGACGGUCCGUUGGUGUAUCACUGUUCACUCAAUUUGGAUGCAACUUGCAAGGACUUAUACAGUCAGACUCCAGUGGGAAUCCUCUGCAUUGAUGAAGAAAGUCCUCAGCUGAACCCGUCCAGAGUAGGAAUCAUCCUGGAAGGCAGUGUGGUGAUGGACGAGCUGCCCAACCUUCCUCAGGCCUUCUGUGUCCUUUUUGGGCUGAUAUACAGUACGCCCUACACCUGGAUUAUCCAAAGUACAUGAAAAACACUUUUUACUUUGUCCAGCAGGUGAUGUUCAACCUGGGUAAAAGUGAGCUGGCACCCAAAAUUCAGACUCUGAAAAAUCAGCUUGAAGUCUAAGGGGUUUCAAGUAGUUAUGCUACUGUUCCAGAUGCUACUGUAUGCUACUGUUCCAGAUACAGUAUUCUGCUGUUCCAGAUAUCAGGUGCUUAGUUUUUAAUGUUGCUCUUUUAGAUAAGUGUGCUGCCGUUUGUGCGCUGUUUUCACUUUGUCUGAUGAUGUGGGCAGUGAUAUCAUGGGUUAAUGAUCCAGUUACUGUCAUUUGUUUGGAUUUAUUUGGACAUGUUAUUUGGUUAAGUAGGUUUUUGGUGUGUCAGUUUAUCACUAUUGCUUACCUUUUCCAUCCUCUCUCUCUCUGCCCUCCUGUCUCUCUCUCCCUCUCUCUCUGAAAGUAAAUAUUUCUGUCAGUGAAAAUCUUAUAUAGUAUAUGCAUAUUUUCUCAGUCCUGCCAUUAAGAAAGAUGAACACCAUGCUGUCAGUCUUGUGAAU
Neoarius graeffei (lesser salmon catfish) is the source of this 1331-nucleotide long non-coding RNA. RefSeq lists it as uncharacterized. NCBI's taxonomy places the organism in Eukaryota, Metazoa, Chordata, Actinopteri, Siluriformes, Ariidae. The transcript is spliced from 3 exons. The record is from RefSeq and is a predicted model, not a curated record.